GCAAAGAUCACCGUCAACAAGAAAUCGGUAAAUUGAGUCGUGUGUUUUUUGUCGAAAUCACUUGUACUCAAGUUUUCUUAGUGGAUUUUCUUUGCGUGAUCGGUCCCGUGGGUUUUUCACUCCGAAUUGGAGUUUUCCCACGUUAAAUUCUCGGUGUGCUAUUUUAAUUUCCGCAAUUGUGUUUUGUUUGCAUCGAGAUUUUUCGAGUUUGCCGGAUUACACCUAUUCACCCCCCUCUAGGUGUUACUUACCUUUUUAGAUCCUCGGGAUCCAUAUCUUACAUUUCGCUCACCAUAUUCUAACGGAUAGGAACCGACCUACCCCUCCAGUGGGAGUCUCAACUAUCAUCGCCAUAUGAUUACUAGCACUCUCUCACAACCUCAUAGUUAAGCACCUACGCUGUAAUAUACCAGAUUUUGGUAUAAAAAUAGAAGUAAAUAAAAAUAGUGUGAGAUACUAUUUUUAUUUGGUUUUUGAGAAGCAAUGUAUAAGUCUAUAAUGACUUGUGCUGAAAUCGGAAUGAAAACAGAAGAUUUAUAAUUUUCUGUUGAAAACGAGACAGAUAAAUUAGCAAAAAGUACAGAGUCUCAGAAAAUUAUGAAAAUUGGAGGAUAAGUCAGAAAUAUUUUUAUGAGGCUAGAUUUAAAGUUUCAUAUUUUUCUGACACCCGAAAGUUGAGAAAUAAAAUCCGAAAUCUAUCUGAUAAAGAUUACAGUUCGGUACAGUUUUCGGUGACCAAACGGGGUCAAAACUGAAAACUUAAAGUAUAUUCUUGUUCGGUACGUUAAACCGAAUAUGACUGUCAAAUUUGAGCUCAAACGGAUACUCUGAGAGCUCCGGCGAAAGAUAUCAGAUUUUAAGUUGCCUGGAGUGAAUAGUGUUUUUGGAAGCUUCAUAGAAAACUUGGAG
RNAcentral lists this long non-coding RNA (909 nucleotides) under Ananas comosus (pineapple). RNAcentral describes it as "long non-coding RNA (ACOM_LNC043449)". Lineage: Eukaryota; Viridiplantae; Streptophyta; Magnoliopsida; Poales; Bromeliaceae. The record is from RNAcentral.